Hibiscus syriacus is the source of this 416-nucleotide long non-coding RNA. RefSeq lists it as uncharacterized. The record is from RefSeq and is a predicted model, not a curated record. NCBI's taxonomy places the organism in Eukaryota, Viridiplantae, Streptophyta, Magnoliopsida, Malvales, Malvaceae. The transcript has 3 exons.
CUUGGCCGCAUCCCUUUCUUCUCAAACACACUCUCCUUUCAAAAUUCUCAAAAGAGAGAUAGAGAGAAACACUUCUCCGGCCACCCUCCUAAACGACCCCGACGAGGGGCCGAUGGCCCCUUUUACCUUGUUUAUCCAAACCCCCAUCCUAAAUCUCCCCAAACCAAACCCAAAAGUAUAAAAAAAAACUACCUUUGUUGCUUGACAGAGCCCUACAUUGCCGGUGAAAUGAAGACCAAGGGGAGAUUUUUGCAGAGGCCAUCUCACUGGUUCGGCCGAAUCAUGGGUGAGGGUUGUCAGAGAGAUGAUAACAUUGGUAGUUGAAACGGUGGUUGUCAUGUGGUCGGAGCGACGAUAAAAGAGACGACGACGGCGGUCAUUUGGGUCUGGGUAUAUUGGGUCGGUUGGGUUUGUAA